AUUGAACGCUGGCGGCAGGCUUAACACAUGCAAGUCGAACGAUGACGUCUAGCUUGCUAGACGGAUUAGUGGCGAACGGGUGAGUAAUGCUUAGGAAUCUGACUAUUAGUGGGGGAUAACGUAGGGAAACUUACGCUAAUACCGCAUACGACCUACGGGUGAAAGGGGGCUUUUAGCUCUCGCUAAUAGAUGAGCCUAAGUCGGAUUAGCUGGUUGGUGGGGUAAAGGCCUACCAAGGCGACGAUCUGUAGCUGGUCUGAGAGGAUGAUCAGCCACACUGGGACUGAGACACGGCCCAGACUCCUACGGGAGGCAGCAGUGGGGAAUAUUGGACAAUGGGCGAAAGCCUGAUCCAGCCAUGCCGCGUGUGUGAAGAAGGCCUUUUGGUUGUAAAGCACUUUAAGUGGGGAGGAAAAGCUUAUGGUUAAUACCCAUAAGCCCUGACGUUACCCACAGAAUAAGCACCGGCUAACUCUGUGCCAGCAGCCGCGGUAAUACAGAGGGUGCAAGCGUUAAUCGGAAUUACUGGGCGUAAAGCGCGCGUAGGUGGUUAUUUAAGUCAGAUGUGAAAGCCCCGGGCUUAACCUGGGAACUGCAUCUGAUACUGGAUAACUAGAGUAGGUGAGAGGGGAGUAGAAUUCCAGGUGUAGCGGUGAAAUGCGCAGAUAUCAGGAGGAACACCGCUGGCGAAGGCAGGUUACUGGGCAGUUACUGACGCUGAGGAGCGAAAGCAUGGGUAGCGAACAGGAUUAGAUACCCUGGUAGUCCAUGCCGUAAACGGUGGGCGCUAGGUGUGAGGGUCUUUCUACGACUUUCGUGCCGUAGCUAACGCAUUAAGCGCCCCGCCUGGGGAGUACGGCCGCAAGGCUAAAACUCAAAGGAAUUGACGGGGGCCCGCACAAGCGGCGGAGCAUGUGGAUUAAUUCGAUGCAACGCGAAGAACCUUACCUGGGCUUGACAUACACCAGAUUGGGCUAGAGAUAGUUCGUCCCUUUGUGGUUGGUGUACAGGUGGUGCAUGGUUGUCGUCAGCUCGUGUCGUGAGAUGUUGGGUUAAGUCCCGCAACGAGCGCAACCCUUGUCUUAUGUUGCCAGCAUUUGGUUGGGGACUCAUGAGAGACUGCCGGGGUUAACUCGGAGGAAGGUGGGGAUGACGUCAAAUCAUCAUGCCCCUUAUGUCCAGGGCUUCACACAUGCUACAAUGGUCGGUACAACGCGCUGCGACACUGUGAGGUGGAGCGAAUCGCUGAAAGCCGGCCUUAGUUCGGAUUGGGGUCUGCAACUCGACCCCAUGAAGUCGGAGUCGCUAGUAAUCGCAGAUCAGCAAUGCUGCGGUGAAUACGUUCCCGGGCCU
RNAcentral lists this ribosomal RNA (1353 nucleotides) under uncultured bacterium. Its description in RNAcentral is "partial 16S ribosomal RNA". It matches the Rfam family "Bacterial small subunit ribosomal RNA", at positions 28 to 1381 of the family's 1533-position model. The record is from RNAcentral.